RNAcentral lists this ribosomal RNA (253 nucleotides) under uncultured bacterium. RNAcentral describes it as "partial 16S ribosomal RNA". It matches the Rfam family "Bacterial small subunit ribosomal RNA", at positions 524 to 776 of the family's 1533-position model. The record is from RNAcentral.
UACGUAGGGUGCGAGCGUUAAUCGGAAUUACUGGGCGUAAAGGGUGCGCAGGCGGUUUUGUAAGUCAGAUGUGAAAUCCCCGGGCUUAACCUGGGAAUUGCGUUUGAAACUACAAGACUAGAGUGUGGCAGAGGGAGGUGGAAUUCCAUGUGUAGCAGUGAAAUGCGUAGAGAUAUGGAAGAACAUCGAUGGCGAAGGCAGCCUCCUGGGUUAACACUGACGCUCAUGCACGAAAGCGUGGGGAGCAAACAGG